AUAUACCGACCGUGUGUGUUUUGUACCGGUGGCGCGUGUGUAUUCAUCCGAUAUCCAUCCAUACGAAACGAAACCACCAAAAAAAGACAGCAAUGUGGCCAGCCACGGCUGCAAUUGAAAACUGCCACUACGUAUUUUUUUGAAGAAAAAAAACAAAAAGAAUCAAAAGGCCUGCCAAGAAUAUCCCAAAAGUGUUUAAGUGCAGCAUGUUCGGA
This 215-nucleotide long non-coding RNA is filed under the name Sorghum bicolor (sorghum). RNAcentral describes it as "long non-coding RNA (SBIC_LNC011575)". Lineage: Eukaryota; Viridiplantae; Streptophyta; Magnoliopsida; Poales; Poaceae. The record is from RNAcentral.